Molecule: long non-coding RNA, 1724 nt
Organism: Hordeum vulgare subsp. vulgare (domesticated barley)
Lineage: Eukaryota; Viridiplantae; Streptophyta; Magnoliopsida; Poales; Poaceae
Exons: 2
Source: RefSeq, a predicted model, not a curated record
UGUGCAUGUGUGGGGUCCUUCGUUUCCUUCCGAAGGCAACUCUGCAUCACACGUCAAUGUCCUCGUCUCCAUGCCUCCUCUCACAUCUCAUCAGUCAUCACCUCCACCAACAGGCCACCUCCUCUCCCCCCCUUGUUUUAGAGAAUUCUCCUACCCAUUUGCCUCUGAAUCACGGAUCAUGAUCCAUGGAGGUGGCCGGCACGGACGUCAUCAAGAGAUAGCCAGCCAGUGUCGCUCGAGGGAGACGGGGUCUCGAUGGCGUUGAGGCAUCCUCGCCGGGCGCUCGGACCAUGAUCCCUGUGUCACUGCUCUUCCUAUUCAUGGCAAACGACGAGCACGGUGAGACCUUUCUUGUUAGCUUUAUCGAUUUGCAAAUAGAUAGGUCCCCAGUGCGGCGACUCCCCAAGGCGAAGAAGAGGCGUGGUCACGUCUGAAGGCGAGUUAGGAGAUAAGCCAGUCCUGGAGGAGGUGAUCUCCGACGCCGGCAUCCUUGUCGUCGAUCUUUCCCAUGCGACGCGAGCACUAAGAUAAUCUGUUUGGUAAGGAUCAACCAACCACAACUAAUCCAUGGCUCGGUAAUGCAACGGCGCCGUCGCCAGCGGGAUCAAGCAACAGUUUGGUCAGACUCUGACUUUUUCCUUCCCCAGCCGCCGCCUUGGACAUCGUCCCUGCUGCCUUUUUUGUGCGCGUGUGUGUUUGGUUUUGCUUUCGUUGGUCCGUUUCACUACUUGCCAUAUCUGAAUCAUGUGAAGGUGCGUGCGUUCGUGCAUUGGAAUUUCCACCACACUGUAGAGCAGCCGUCAGGUAGCUGCAAUGUGUUGGUCCACAGGGCCCUGAAUGAUUCUUCGUAGAUCCAUAUUGAGCUUGCUUGAUUGUUACUUAACUACGAUCUCUUGCAUCAGUGUUGUGCUUACCUUUUGUGUUGUAAAUGCAGGGGAAGGGGUGAGGAGUUAGUUGCCUGCCAUUUCAUCAGGCCAUGGUGUGGUGUAGCAGUGGCCUUCACAUCAAAAUAACGAGAGCUUUUAGAUGAUCUCGAGAUGGUGAGGAGCCGAGAGUACCUAGAUUGUGAAGGACAGACUGUCAUGCUGCCUAUGCGCCAUCGACCCAUGUGGAUAAUCAUGCUAUUGUGCCUCGUCUGUGUCGCACUGAUCGGGGCGUAUGUGUACCUCCCGUGGCACUACUCGUAAUGCUACCUCUUUGCUUCUAGCGUCUGCACACUAUUCAAGGAUUGGCUCCUGUCCAUUUGCUGCCGGAAGCGAACUGAUGACGAGAUCAUCUCGGACGCUCUUAUCAAGGAUAUCAUUGGAAUGACCAUGUCCGCGUCAAAGAAUCUAAAUAUUGCUUUUAUGUUCUUGACACCUGGUUCAUUGCCCUUUGAGAAAUUAUGGCAGAAAUUUUUGCAGGUUUGCCUGAUUUCACCUCUUGUCCUUGUGCAUGUCUGCUAACCGGUGAUGCCAAGGUUUGCCCAAAUUUAUUCGAUCCAUGCCAAAGUGACAUACCAAUCGAUAGGUGGUUGAUGAGCUACAUUAUUUUAAAGGUGGUCUAUGCCAAAAUGACCGAACAAGGGUGUGCGCAGGUUCUUGCAGAAGCAUAGUGAUGAUGAGACAUUUCUUGUUGCUGAUUAUAAACUUGAAAAUGAUACAUAGUAUUUUUAAAGGUGAUUUAUCCAUGGAAAUGAUGUGUUUGUCAAUUGCUUAAGGGUGAUUAGUAUUUACAUGUUGCAA